CUUUAGCCCCGAUAGAAGCGGUUACCCCGCAGCGGAAAUGGUUUUAGCCAGGUGCGAGGAGUAUGAGCGGAUAGCGGGAUUAAGC
RNAcentral lists this small RNA (85 nucleotides) under Chryseobacterium sp. Leaf180. RNAcentral describes it as "Flavo-1 RNA". It matches the Rfam family "Flavo-1 RNA". The record is from Rfam by way of RNAcentral. Lineage: Bacteria; Pseudomonadati; Bacteroidota; Flavobacteriia; Flavobacteriales; Weeksellaceae.